AUUGAACGCUGGCGGCAGGCUUAACACAUGCAUGUCGAGCGGGGGAAGGUAGCUUGCUACCGGACCUAGCGGCGGACGGGUGAGUAAUGCUUAGGAAUCUGCCUAUUAGUGGGGGACAACAUCUCGAAAGGGAUGCUAAUACUGCAUACGUCCUACGGGAGAAAGCAGGGGAUCUUCGGACCUUGCGCUAAUAGAUGAGCCUAAGUCGGAUUAGCUAGUUGGUGGGGUAAAGGCCUACCAAGGCGACGAUCUGUAGCGGGUCUGAGAGGAUGAUCCGCCACACUGGGACUGAGACACGGACCAGACUCCUACGGGAGGCAGCAGUGGGGAAUAUUGGACAAUGGGGGGAACCCUGAUCCAGCCAUGCCGCGUGUGUGAAGAAGGCCUUAUGGUUGUAAAGCACUUUAAGCGAGGAGGAGGCUACUUUAGUUAAUACCUAGAGAUAGUGGACGUUACUCGCAGAAUAAGCACCGGCUAACUCUGUGCCAGCAGCCGCGGUAA
Molecule: ribosomal RNA, 501 nt
Filed under: uncultured bacterium
Lineage: Bacteria
Description: partial 16S ribosomal RNA
Rfam family: Bacterial small subunit ribosomal RNA
Source: RNAcentral